UACGUAGGGGGCAAGCGUUGUCCGGAUUUAUUGGGCGUAAAGAGCGUGUAGGCGGCUAGGUAGGUCCGUUGUGAAAACUCGAGGCUCAACCUCGAGACGCCGGUGGAAACCAUCUAGCUAGAGUCCGGAAGAGGAGAGUGGAAUUCCUGGUGUAGCGGUGAAAUGCGCAGAUAUCGGGAAGAACACCCGUGGCGAAGGCGGCUCUCUGGGACGGUACUGACGCUGAGACGCGAAAGCGUGGGGAGCGAACAGG
This 253-nucleotide ribosomal RNA is filed under the name uncultured bacterium. RNAcentral describes it as "partial 16S ribosomal RNA". It matches the Rfam family "Bacterial small subunit ribosomal RNA", at positions 524 to 776 of the family's 1533-position model. The record is from RNAcentral.